This 218-nucleotide unclassified non-coding RNA is filed under the name Hevea brasiliensis (rubber tree). Lineage: Eukaryota; Viridiplantae; Streptophyta; Magnoliopsida; Malpighiales; Euphorbiaceae. The record is from RNAcentral.
AUCAAUAGUAGAAGGUUGAUAAUCUGUCAGACAUUUCAAUUCCAGGUGCUUAUCAGCACUCAGAAUUACCAAAUUCAUUCAGCAAUCCACCUAAACCCACCAGCAUGGGAUCUAUGCAGAGGUCACAAGAUAGAAGUACACAGCAGAUAUAUCCUAUGAAUUUUAACUCAUCACUGUUGCGGCUGUCCCUCACCCGAUUCACGUUUUGAUGCUUCUUU